CUGGCUCAGAUUGAACGCUGGCGGCAGGCCUAACACAUGCAAGUCGAGCGGAUGACGGGAGCUUGCUCCUUGAUUCAGCGGCGGACGGGUGAGUAAUGCCUAGGAAUCUGCCUGGUAGUGGGGGACAACGUUUCGAAAGGAACGCUAAUACCGCAUACGUCCUACGGGAGAAAGCAGGGGACCUUCGGGCCUUGCGCUAUCAGAUGAGCCUAGGUCGGAUUAGCUAGUUGGUGGGGUAAUGGCUCACCAAGGCGACGAUCCGUAACUGGUCUGAGAGGAUGAUCAGUCACACUGGAACUGAGACACGGUCCAGACUCCUACGGGAGGCAGCAGUGGGGAAUAUUGGACAAUGGGCGAAAGCCUGAUCCAGCCAUGCCGCGUGUGUGAAGAAGGUCUUCGGAUUGUAGAGCACUUUAAGUUGGGAGGAAGGGCAGUAAGUUAAUACCU
Molecule: ribosomal RNA, 447 nt
Filed under: Pseudomonas sp. AE_70_1
Lineage: Bacteria; Pseudomonadati; Pseudomonadota; Gammaproteobacteria; Pseudomonadales; Pseudomonadaceae
Description: bacterial SSU rRNA
Rfam family: Bacterial small subunit ribosomal RNA
Source: RNAcentral